GAUGAAGAACGUAGCGAAAUGCGAUAAGUAAUGUGAAUUGCAGAAUUCAGUGAAUCAUCGAAUCUUUGAACGCACAUUGCGCCCCUUGGUAUUCCGAGGGGCAUGCCUAUUCGAGCGUCAUUAUCACCCCUCAAGCCUAGCUUGGUGUUGAGACCUGCUGUCAAGGCAGUCCCUAAAAUCAGUGGCAGUGCUAUCAGGCUCUAAGCGUAGUAAAUUCAUCGCUAUAGACACCUGGUGGCCACUCGCCAGAACCCCCCCAUUUUUUAAUGAUUGACCUCGGAUUAGGUAGGGAUACCCGCUGAACUUAAGCAUAUCAAUAAGCGGAGGA
Molecule: unclassified non-coding RNA, 328 nt
Filed under: soil metagenome
Description: partial contains 5.8S ribosomal RNA, internal transcribed spacer 2, and large subunit ribosomal RNA
Rfam family: 5.8S ribosomal RNA (bases 1-120)
Source: RNAcentral